CAGAGGGUGCGAACGUUGCUCGGAAUUAUUGGGCGUAAAGUGCGUGUAGGCGGCUUGUUAAGUCGGUUGUGAAAACCCAUGGCUCAACCAUGGAAGGGCGUCCGAAACUGGCAAGCUAGAGUCCCGACGAGGAUGGCGGAAUUCCCAGUGUAGAGGUGAAAUUCGUAGAUAUUGGGAGGAACACCGGUGGCGAAGGCGGCCAUCUGGGAGGGCACUGACGCUGAGACGCGAAAGCGUGGGGAGCAAACAGGAUUAGAUACCCUGGUAGUCCACGCUGUAAACGAUGAGCACUAGAUGUUGCGGGUAUUGACCCCUGCAGUGUCGACGCUAACGCAUUAAGUGUUCCGCCUGGGGAGUACGGCCGCAAGGCUA
RNAcentral lists this ribosomal RNA (372 nucleotides) under uncultured organism. RNAcentral describes it as "bacterial SSU rRNA". It matches the Rfam family "Bacterial small subunit ribosomal RNA", at positions 526 to 896 of the family's 1533-position model. The record is from RNAcentral.